GAUGAACGCUGGCGGUAUGCUUAACACAUGCAAGUCGAACGGACUCUUCGGAGUUAGUGGCGGCCGGGUGAGUAACGCGUGAGAAUCUGGAUUUGGGUUCGGGACAACCACUGGACACGGUGGCUAAUACCGGAUGUGACGAGAGGCAAGAGAGUAAUUGCCUGAAGAUGAGCUCGCGUCUGAUUAGCUAGUUGGUGAGGUAAAGACACACCAUGGCAGCGCGCAGUAGCUGGUCUGAGAGGAGGACCAGCCACGCCUGGACUGGGAAACGGCCCAGACUCCUCCGGCGGGCAGCACUGGGGAAUUAUCCGGAAUGGGCGAGAGCGUGACGGAGCAAUACCGCGUGAGGGAAGAAGGCUCUAGGGUUGUAAACCUCUUUACUUAGGUAAGAACAAAAUGACGGUACCUAAUGAAACAGCAUCGGCUAGCUCCGUG
This 435-nucleotide ribosomal RNA is filed under the name uncultured bacterium. RNAcentral describes it as "partial 16S ribosomal RNA". It matches the Rfam family "Bacterial small subunit ribosomal RNA", at positions 28 to 507 of the family's 1533-position model. The record is from RNAcentral.